CGUACGACCCAGAUCGUUCCAAAAGCAUCGGCGCUGUCGAGACCCAAUCGCCGACCAGCUAGGCAACUCGGCCACAACUUCGGCGUCCGGCCACCCCACGACGGCGCACCGGCACCGUUCUCUUCAUCUCGCCGUCUCCGUCACGCCACUCUCUCUAGCUUGAUCGUUCGUCGACCGUGGAGAGAGAAUCGACGCCGAGAAGACAACAGCUACUUCGGUGACAUCGUGGCUGUUUCCAGCUACCG
RNAcentral lists this long non-coding RNA (245 nucleotides) under Rosa chinensis. Its description in RNAcentral is "sRNA RchiOBHm_Chr4g0415531". The record is from RNAcentral. Lineage: Eukaryota; Viridiplantae; Streptophyta; Magnoliopsida; Rosales; Rosaceae.